GUUCUGUUCCAAACUCUGUUUUGUUUGUUUUAUCUUUUCCCUUUUUAAGGUUUUUACAUAGAGUGAGGGGAACUUUGGAGGGUGAUGGAGCAUAUUCUCUGGGUGGAGUAAAAGUGGGGACGAAGGAGCUUUUCCGUCAGAGGAUUGUUUGAAGACUGUCCCAUGGGGAUAUAAUGUUCUUCAGGAGACAGCUGAUCACCACGCAGAAGUGGACACCAACUUCCCAAGAGACCAGAUAUUCUUCCUAUAAAAUGACCCUAACUGCAGACAGGACUCCUCCUAUUCUUGUUAACGCUGCAGGGAGCCAGGUCCUGCAGGCAGUGGGAGCCAGGGCUGCUCCUGUUACACCAGGAAGCCUUGCCAGCUGUGUGCCUCUGACCGACCAUCCCUGCGAGAGGA
This 399-nucleotide long non-coding RNA is filed under the name Anser brachyrhynchus (Pink-footed goose). Its description in RNAcentral is "lncRNA (ENSABRG00000003488.1)". Lineage: Eukaryota; Metazoa; Chordata; Aves; Anseriformes; Anatidae. The record is from RNAcentral.